This 8799-nucleotide long non-coding RNA is filed under the name Triticum aestivum (bread wheat). RNAcentral's name for it is "long non-coding RNA (TAES_LNC007381)". The record is from RNAcentral. Lineage: Eukaryota; Viridiplantae; Streptophyta; Magnoliopsida; Poales; Poaceae.
GCUAUGGCGGUGGCGGCGGCGGCUACGGAGGUGGCGGCGGUGGCUACGGAGGUGGCGGCGGCAGCUACGGCGGCGGUGGCGGCUACGGAGGUGGUGGUGGCGGCGGCCGCUACGGAGGAGGCAGCGGUGGCGGCCGUGAGUGCUACAAGUGCGGCGAGGAGGGCCACAUCUCCAGGGACUGCCCCCAGGGCGGCGGUGGCGGUGGUGGUGGCUACGGAGGCGGUGGCGGCCGUGGCGGUGGUGGUGGCGGUGGCGGCUGCUUCUCCUGCGGCGAGUCCGGCCACUUCUCGCGCGAGUGCCCCAACAAGACCAACUAGGCGGCGCUGCCCGUCAGAUCUGAGUUCCCCGUUCCCCUUCGCUCCUUUUCCUACCGCCUGACUCUGCAGCAAGUCAUACCUAUACCUAUCAGUAUUAGUAUAUGUCGCCGUAGUGUUCCCGUGCUUCUCGUAGGAAGAAGAAUCGACGAUGCGAGCUUGGUUCCAGAAGUAUUGUUGGUGGAUUAUUGUUCGUUCGAAGUUAUCUUGUCGUGUCGUCUGAUGUGGACAGACUGAUCUAUCUCUAUGUAUUGGAUGGACCGAAGUUAUGCAAGUCUAAGUUAUGCUGUCUGAUUAUUGAUCUCGAUGAAACUUGCAUAUCAUUUUCAUUUUCCUAAAACAAAAACAGUUUAUUUUUUUCAUUUUGUGAAGUGUCAGGUUUCCAGUUGUUGGAUCUUUGUGUGCAUCUCGGAGCGUGCUCCUCUGUGGUUGUACAGGCUUGAUUGUUCAUUGUUUUAUGUGACUGUUUAGUGUGGUUGGAUGGAUUGUGGAAAUUGCAUGCUUAACUAUGACUGUUCACAGAUUAGUAUUAGUACAUUUGUUCAGAGAUUAGUUUUAGUACAUUUGUUCAGAGAUUAGUUUUUUUCAUGUGUUAUAUUUGUUCAGAUAUUAGUAUUGGUAUAUAUGUUUGAUGCAUGAAUGAACAGCCCCACUAUUUAUAUCUGUGUACUGAGGUCAACAAGGUUUCGUAGCUAUGUUGUGCUUACAGUUUCUCUAUGCUUUCUGUUCCUUUGUCUGUCAGCUUGCAUCGUUGUUCAGUAUAUCGGUAUUUGGAGUUUUAAUCUGUCUUACUUACAGUCAUUGAGCUCUUGCCUGGCGAUGGCUUCUUAUAUCCAGUAAUUUUCUUUUGGUCUCUCUUUGUCGUCAACCUCUUACUCAGUUUUUAGCCUUUUAAUUCUCAUCUUUUUUCUUCAGCUUCACCAGUUUCUUUGUUCCUGUUUGAAGUUUCUCAAAUUUUGUCCAUGGCACAUUGCAUUAUUUAUUCAUAUUGCGGUAAUGAUUAUGACAAUUAUAUCCUUAUUUUUUGGAAGUGACAAACAAAGAAGCACCCAGAGUUAAGACACUUUCUUUUUGCAAGCUUUAUUUUUUUGCAUUUGCAUGGUUGGUUUUUGCAUUGGUGAAUUUCAUGUGCAACCAAGCUGUAAGUCAGUCACCUUGUUUCAUUUUGUACUGAUGAAUGGAAGUUAUCGUUUGCUUGCUAUGAAGUUCUUUUUUUUUUAAAUCUAAAAUUGACAGGCAAUUGCAUUUGUAGCCAUAAACGGAACAGACACCUUUGUGAUAGUCCAAGUAGCAUACUUUUGUUAGCUAUUCAGAAAAGAUGUUGCUAUACUAUCUCUUACUGCGGCUUAAAUUGUUUUAAAUUGUUGUUCUCAUCUUUCUAUGUCUUUGUUCCGUCAGUCUUGUAUCUCAUCAGGAUUUAGUGUGUGUUUUGUCAGUCUUCAGUGUCUUGCAUCUCAUCAGGAUUUAGUGUGUGUUUCUUCAGUCUUUUCUCUGUCAGUGUUUAGAUUUCAGUGCUAUAUCAGAUACAGUAUAUCUUUACCAACGCAGCAUUUUGUCAAAAAAUCAAGUCUAUCUAGCUUUUUCUCUUACAUUUUUGCCUCGAGUUUUUGUGCAGCUAUGUUUUCUUUUUCCAGAGAUGAUCACAUGUAUGUAUUUUACCGUGUGUUUAUCUAGUUGUAAUGUCAAGUGCCAGGUCAUUGUGGGAUGAAUGUUUCUCGAGUAUGAUCUGUAGUAGACUACGAAGAAUCCUGAAAUCUCGGAUUUUGGUGGCAAAUUAGACUCUGCGUAUAUAUUAAUAUCAAAGUAGACUAUCAAUUUAAUUUUGAUUGGUGAUGCUUAUCAUGUGCAUUGUGGGAUCAAUGUUUCUUGAUUUUUAGUUGUAGAGUAUUUUUAGGAGCCGAUGGAUCUUGAAUUCAAGGACUAGUUCUGAAUCUGUUACAUUUUGGCCAACGAGCUCAGUGAGUUACUCCCUUUGUUUGGAAUUACUCGUCGAAGAAAUGAAUGUAUCUAGAUAUAUUUUAGUUGUAGAUACAUCCAUUUUUGUUUCCGGAGGGAGUACAUGUCAACAAUUUACUCUAGCAUUGUAUAUUUGAACUCGUCUGGCUGGGCAACUUGUACCGUUUAUAUGGUUUUAUUUAGUUUUGUGUAUACAUAACCUGAUUUCAUAUGCUUGGCUGAAAAUUGCACGGGUAAGUUUCAUGUUGCUUGUUCCGAAGAGUGCUGUAUGGAGGUUUGGUUAUCAAUGAAUGUCAAAGGAUGAAAAGAGCAACAACAGAAUAAGGUCAUUUUGCUUACCUCUCCAGGAUUUUAGUGUGUUUCUUCAGUCUUCUCUCUGUUUUCACUUAAGAUGUCAGUGCGAAAACACCCGUGUCUUAUGAAAUCCAUUUCUUUAAAUGUAACCUUCAAAUUUUCUAGCUUGCAGGACUAUCCGUCCUUUUUACAUUUUUGCCUUCGGUUUUUGUGUUACUUCUGCUGAAGGUGGAUGCUGUCGGUUUUCCAAAUUGUGAACAUGAGCAAGGUAGGAAUUACGUAGUUUCAGCUUUCAUGAAACAGAAAAGCUAACCAGCGAACGUGAGAUUUUUGGUGAUCUCCAGCGAAACACCCUUCCUCAUCCUGAUCCACCCCCGCCCCCACUUUCCUCUUCAGAGCAAGCCCCCUCCUCGAUCGUCGGCGAGUCUAUUCUCGUCGUCUAUGAUAUCUUGUGCGGCCGCGUCGAGUUUCUUCCGUCAGUCCUCGACGACGAUUAAACACGGAGCUCGACUUGCUGAUGUUCUUCCCUCCCAAGAUCGCCCAUCGUGAGCAGCCUCGCUCUUUCCCGAUGCAACCAGACUGAAUGCUGAGCGAGGAGGCACGGGCGUCGCCCGAACCGCAAUGGAUGGACUCGCUCGAGUUACGCCGGCGUGCCUUGCAGCUGUCGCUGCCCCUCUAGGAGAUCGACGCCAGCGCUGUCGCUGCCCCUCUAGGAGAUCGACGCCAGCGCGGCGACCUACGACUUGGCCUGGAGCCCCUGUGCCUACCUGCUCACCAUGGCUGCCGCAAGGAGCUCCUGCGCUAGAUCCAACACCGCGCAGGCUGCCCCCAAGCUUCCAAGUUCCAACCACCGUCUCGACGAACCGCGGCGUGGUGCUCGUCCCCUUAGGUCCCGCCCCCCUCCCCUGCUUGCUCCCUCCCUUCCACCUUCCACGUCUUUCUUCUGUUCUUUGUGCUCCCCAUUGGUGUGUGCUAGACCAGCCCUGGCCGGUCCUUGUGUGCGCACUGUGUGACGGACCGCAGCGUUCAUCCCCUUAGGUUCUUCUCCCCCUGCCCGCUCCCUCCCUUCCAUCUUUCUUCUUCUGUUUUUUGUGCUCCCCAUUGGUGCGUGCUCGCUGGUCUAUGGCCAUGGCCGGUCCUUGUGUUCUCGCUGUGCUUCCGGCUCAUAGCGGUUCAGUAGACUUGCACAGGUUUCUUCAGAUUUCCAACGUGAAUGAAUUUAUUUUUAUGCCAAAUACCAGCUAGAUUAGGCUAUGAGGAUGGGCCAACUCAUGUAAUAACAUAAUGGAAAAUCCAGAUCUGUUGUCAUGGUUAUAUCAUGCGAAUUGUCACGGCUUUCUAUCAUGGCAAUUCACCAAUCCUAUUUCUUUUUUGUUGCGCCGCACUGUGAGGCAUCUCGCAUUUUAUAUCAGUAUGCAAGUUAGUCUAGUUGGUAAAUUCACAUUAGGUGUGUAGAUAGCGCAGACAAACUACAAUGGCAAAUUCACAUUAGGCAUGUAUAUGGUUUUUAGUUGGCAAAUUCACAAUUUGUAAACUGCCAUGGCACUUUUUUAUACUCCAUUACUAUUACAAGGCCACUUCAUUUUUAUGUCUAAUUUUGACCAUUAAUUUUACCAACAAAAUUUGAGUUAUAUGCCAUAAUAAGCAUGCCAUUAGAUGCACAUUUGAAAGAACUUUUUAUGAUAUAUUUUUUGUGACAAACGACCCAUAUAUUUUAUUUUUUUGCGAAUGAACCCAUAUUUUCUUGACCAAAAUUGUGAGUCAAAGUUUGACAUGAAAAAUGAAGUGGCCUUGUAUAUAAAAAUGGAGAGAGUAUAAUCUUGCAAUGUUACAUAGUUGCAAUUGGUGAAGGCACUUUCCACACCAAUUUUGACAAUCAGUAAACUACCAUGGCAAUUAGUCUUUCUUUUUGCAAUGACCCUUACAUAUUUUUGCCAUUUUAUAUAGUCAUUAAUUGUUGUUGUGGAUGCAAUUUUCGCCCUUCACAGUCCGUAAAAUUGCCGUGGGCCUUGUAUAUAAAAAUGGAGGGAUUAUAAUUUUUCCAUUUUACAUAGUUGCAAUUGGUGAAGGCACUUUCCACACCAGUUUUUACAAUUAUUAAACUGCCAUGGCAAUUACUUUCUUUCUGCAAUGACACCUUACAUAUUUGUGCCAUUUUUUAUGUUGUUGAUCGUUGUUGUGAAUGCAAUUUUCACCCUUCACAGUCCGUAAAAUUGCCAUGGGCAAUUUAGUACGAUCUUUUGGCAAGAGCCCAUGACACCUUAUAUAUUCUUUUUGCACGGGAUUUUUCAUAAAAUGUGUAUCCAACACAUGGCAAUUUUUUGAAAAUGUUUGCUUUUUAUCCUUCAUAUUUUCUUAGAAGAACAAAUGUUCUAUAUAACAUGGCAAGUUUGAAAUAUGUUUUUCAAAUGGCCACAAUCUAUUCUUUUUGUUAUUAUUUAAGAGAUGUCAUUUAUUAUUAUUAAGAGAUGGCUAGCAUUUUUUGUUUAUUAAGAGAUGGCAUUUUUUGUUUAUUUAGAGAUGAUGGCAUUUUUUGUUUAUUUAGAGAUGACUUUUAUUAUUUUUAAGAGAUGGCAUUUUUUAUUUAUUAAGAGAUAGCAUUUUUGUUUAUUAAGAGGUGGAAUUUUUUAUUUAUUAAGAGAUGGCAUUUUUGUUUAUUAAGAGAUGACAUUUUAUAUUAAGGUAUGGAAUUUUUAUUAUUAAGAGAAGUCAUUUUUUUACUAAUAGAUUACAUUUUUAUUAUUAAGAGAUGGCAUUUUUUACCAUGGCAUUUUUCUUAUUCUUUGUUACAUGGCAACUCAAAUUAUAGGGCCAUGACAAGUUUAAAACAUUUUUUGAAUAUCCAUGGUGAAUUUAUGAUAUUAUAGGACGGCAUAUUUUAGAAGUCCAGAGCAUGGAUUUUUUUGAAAAUGUCUGUUUUUUAUCCUUCACAUUUUCUUAUAAGAUCAAAUGUUCUAUAUAACGUGGAAAGUUUGAAAUAUGUUUUUCAAAUGGUCAUAAUCUGUUUCUUUCUGGUUUUGCCAUGGCACAUUCAAAACAUUAUGUUUCCCAUGGCAAAUAUCAUGGCAACUUUAUGUUGGCAUUUUUCUUACGGACAAAUGGGGUGGCAACUUUUUCUAGGUGUUACAAAAUGGUUUCAUGGCAUGUGUAUUUUUCCAUACAUGGCAAAUUUGUCAUGUUUUGUAUGGUAUUUUUAUAAAAGUUUUGCCAUGCAUGGCUGGGAUUUUUUUGCCCAACUGGGGUUCGAUCUCACAACCUCUUUUAGAGGCAAGUUCUGUUCUGGAGGGGCAGGGGGUUUAUCGGUGCGAACGAUUUCGUUCGCUGCAGCCUCCCCCCACGCUAGCUGGUUAUUGUUGCUGUAAAAAAAAAGGAGCUGGUUCUUGUUAGCGUAUUGUAUUUUAUGUGUACAUUGUACCUGUGUAUGUGUAUCCUCCUGGUAUAUAGGAUCGUGAGUAGUGCCCGGGCCUGCGUGCCACUUCCUUCGGGUUUCUUUCAGAGGCACUGGGCUUUACUGAAAGAUGAUAUUGUUCUGGCCAUUUUGGAUUUUUUUAAUGGGGGUAUUUUGCCCGAGGGGUUGAAUGACACGUCCAUCACCUUGAUCCCAAAGGUACGACACCCACAUCGAAUCACUCAGUAUAGACCCAUAUCCUUAUGUUCUGUCUUAUACAAGAUUGCCUCAAAAUGCAUCACCAAUAGAAUGAGGGUUUUUAUGGGGGAGAUAAUCAGUGAAGAACAAAGCGCGUUUGUCCCUGGGCGCCUAAUAACUGAUAAUGUGCUCAUUGCGUAUGAAAGUGUUCAUGCAAUGAAACGACGGAAGAGAGGGAAGAAUUGUGUUUGUGCAAUGAAACUUGACAUGAUGAAGGCAUAUGACCGAGUAGAAUGGCAUUAUCUGGAAGCCAUCAUGCUGCGUUUGGGUUUCAGCGCACAGUUUGUCAGACUGAUAAUGAAGUGUGUCACGUCGGUUAGAUUUACUGUUCCUGUGAACAGGGAGUUGCUGCCAUUUUUUACACCCUCAAGAGGGUUUCGUCAAGGGGACCCUGUCUCACCGUAUUUGUUCCUCCUAUGUGCAGAAGGUUUCACUUCCUUGCUGAAGUUUUAUGGAGGAGUCAAUAUCGACAGAGGUAUUCGCGUAAGCUAUCAAUCGCCUUGGAUAAAUCAUCUUCUGUUCACGGAUGAUAGUCUUAUUCUCAUGAAUGCACAGGUAGCUAGUGCACUCAGGUUGAAUGAGGUGCUACAGAUUUACAGUGACUGCUCCGGUCAGUGUGUUAAUAGGGACAAGAGCUCGGUCUAUUUCAGUCCUAACACAACCGAACCAGUGCGCUGUUUGUUGAAGGCAGUUCUGAACAUCUCAGUUGAAGCGUUCAGUGAACGAUAUCUGGGACUCCCAACUGCUGUUGGCCGUAUCACUAGUGGAACUUUCGAAUUUCUCAGAGAAAGGAUGAGAAGCAAACUACAAGUAGGAGUGGAAUGUCUCAUUUCUUGUGCUGGCAGGGAGGUCAAGCUGAAAGCUGUGGCCCAAGCAAUACCCACACACUCCAUGAGUUGCUUCAGACUCACUAAGAAGGUCUGCAAAGGCCUUUCUUCUGUCAUGGCUAGAUAUUGGUGGAGUAGCUCAAUCGAUCGCAGAUCGCUCCAUUGGAUUGAUUGGCCUUCACUUGCUGAACCCAAGGUUGCUGGAGGGAUGGGGUUUCGUAACCUAGAAUUGUUCAACUUAGCCCUGCUCGGAAAGCAUGGGUGGAAUUUGAUUAUCAACCCGGACUCUCUCUGUGCUCGUGUACUGAAGGGAAAAUAUUUCCCGCAAAGUGACUUCAUGGCCGCAACUGUCCCAAAGUGUGCCUCGGCCACAUGGCGUGCAAUUUGUGCGGGCAAACAAGCUUUGGGAGCUGGCCUAGUGAAACGAAUUGGUGAUGGCACAUCGGUGUCCAUUUGUUAUGAUAGCUGGGUGCCGGGCCUACUCUCCUUACGGCCAACUACUCACAUUGGUGACACAAAUAUUACUGCUGUGUCUGAGUUGAUCGAUGGAGACCGAGGUUUAUGGAAGGUUGAGCUGGUGAGGCACCAUUUUAUCACCCCCAAAGCUGAUGCAAUCCUCAAUAUCCCGUUAAGGGCGAAUGGGGGCGAGGAUUAUUGGGCAUGGACUGCAGAAAAGUCGGGUAUCUACACUAUGAAAUCAGCGUACCGUUCUCUCAUGACCUUGAAUGAGCACUCUGCUCAAAGGGAAGGGACGGCCACGGAAACCUCAGAGCAACAAAAAUAGUUGUGGACAAGACUUUGGAAGCUAAAAGUUGUGCCAAAAGUCAGAGUGUUUUGGUGGCGAGUGCUUAGGGGAAUUCUUCCCACUGAGGGCGCUUUGAAACAUCAACACACCGCUGUCUUGGCACGUUGCAAAGUCUGCCUAGAUGCAGACGAGGAUAUAUAUCACGCAUUGAUUAAAUGCACUCAUGCUAAGCUCUUCUGGAAGGAGGCGAGGGAAAUUUUAUCUGUCAAACUACCGGAGCUCCAUACAGAAACUUGGUCAAGGGACAUUUUAUGUGACCCUAGAUUCAAUGAGGCAGAUCAAGCAAAAGUUAUUACUGUCAUGUGGGCAAUUUGGACAUCCAGGAACAAUAUUACACAUGAUAGGGCUAGCUUGGAUCCAGUUCACUCCAUGAAGAUGACAAGAGAGGCCUUGUCGCUGCUAGAACUACCCCAACAACAUGCAAUGAUCUUACCGGGCCAUGGUUGGCGACCACCUGAUGCAGAUUGUAUAAAUGCUGGGAUUUCCAUGGAGGCAAGGAAGUGCGGGCUGGGAGGUGUUGCCAGAUCUGCUACUACAUUCUUGAGUGCCUGGUGCAAACCUAUCCAGGGCACUACGAAUCCACUUGUCGCGGAGGCCUUGCUCUCCAUGAAGGUGUGGUUUUUGCUCAACUUCAUGGCUUUGUGCGGGUGGAGAUGGAGACCGACAGCAUGGAGGUCGUCGAUCUUUGGAACUCGCGCCGUUCUUCGCGCUCGCUGAUAGCGCCUGUGUUACUUGAUAUUGAGGGUUUAGCUGCCUCUUUUUCCUUUUUUACUAUUCGUCAUGUAAAGAGACAUGCCAAUAUCCCCGCCCACCUGUGUGCAUAACAUGCCUGCACAAGGGAGGUAACGGAGUGUUGGAUGAACAAUCCUCCUGGCUUACUAAUCACCAGUCUAAUGGCUGACAGUGCAGGAGCAAUCUAUCUGGAAUAAAACCCUCAUUAUCCCACAAAAAAAACAC